AGGGCUUACGGAGGAUGACUUGGUAUGGAUAGGCGAAGAAGGACGUGGUAAGCUGCGAUAAUCUUCGGGGAACCGCAAACAGGUUUUGAUCCGAAGAUUUCCGAAUGGGUGAACCUUUUGCCAGUAAUGUGGCAAAACUCUAUUCUGAAUGUAUAGGGAUAGAGGGCGAAACCAGGAGAACUGAAACAUCUAAGUAACCUGAGGAAAAGAAAGAGUAAAUCGAUUCCCCCAGUAGUGGCGAGCGAAAAGGGAACAGCCUAAACCCUUGACAAAUUUUGCAAGAAAUUUGUCAAGGGGGUUGUGGGACUGUGAUAUAGGAUUGCCGGCGAAUAGCAGAAUGGACUGGAAAGUUCAACCAUAGAAAGUGAUAGUCUUAUAUGCGACAUUUAAAAGCACCUUAACAGUAUCCCAAGUACUACGGGGCACGUGGAAUCUUGUAGGAAUCAGGCCCGACCAUGGGCCAAGGCUAAAUACUCAUCCAUAACCGAUAGUGCACAAGUACCGUGAGGGAAAGUUGAAAAGAAGGCCCGCAAGGCCAGUGAAAUAGUACCUGAAACCGUAAGCUUACAAGCGGUGGGAGCUCUUCCGAUUUAUCGGAGGGGUGACCGCGUGCCUUUUGCAUAAUGAUCCGGCGAGUUAUUGUGUGUGGCAAGGUUAACUUCAACAGACAGAAGGUAAUCGAAGCGAAAGCGAGUCUGAAUAGGGCAAUUAAGUCGCAUGCAAUAGACCCGAAUCUGAGUGAUCUACCUAUGACCAGGAGGAAAUCCAGAGAAAUCUGGAUGGACGUCCGAACCUUUAUGGGUUGAAAACCGUUGGGAUGAGUUGUGGGUAGGGGUGAAAGGCCAAUCAAACUCAGGAAUUGCUGGUUCUCCCCGAAAUAGUUCUAGGACUAGCCUUGCGUAAAUGGACAACAGGGGUAGAGUACUCAAUGGGCUAAGGACCCUACCAGGUUGCUGACCCCAAUGAAACUCCGAAUACUGUUGCACCUUAUCGCAGGAGUCAGCCAGCGAGGGAUAAGCCUCGUUGACGAGAGGAAAACAGACCAGACCGCCAGAUAAGGCCCCUAAUGUGGACUAAGUGGUAAAGGAAGUGAAGUCGCUCAGACAACCAGGAUGUUGGCUUAGAGGCAGCCAUCAUUUAAAGAGUGCGUAACAGCUCACUGGUCGAUGCGAUUUUGCGCCGACAAUGAUCGGGGCUCAAGUUCACAGCCGAAGCUGCGGCUCUGAUUUAUAUUUAUAUCGGAGGGUAGGGGAGCGUUCUGUUAGGAGUGAAGGUAGACCGUAAGGACUGCUGGACUUGACAGAAGUGAAUAUGCCGGAAUAAGUAGCGAAAAUCCCGAUGCGAAAACGGGACGCCGAAAAUCUAAGGGUUCCUGGGGAAGGUUAAUCCACCCAGGGUUAGUCGAUCCUAAGCUGAGGCCGAAAGGCGUAAGCGAUGGACAGCAGGUUAAUAUUCCUGCACUACCUGUAUGGCGUUUUAAGUGUUGGUGUGACGCAGAAGGCUAUGCCGCCCCCGGUGUUGGAUGUCCGGGGUCAUAUUCAUAGUCUGCCAUGAAUAAUGGCGGAUGAGGGAUAGGAGGAGUCAAAUCUACGGAAAAGGCGAACAGGCAAACGUCAUACUGCCGAGAAACAACAUACAACACAAGUUAUACAGGUGUUCGUACCGCAAUCCGACACAGGUAGAUGGGGAGAAAAUCCUAAGGCGCUCGAAAAAACCCUCGUUAAGGAACUCGGCAUAAUGGCCCCGUAACUUCGGAAUAAGGGGUGCCCUUGACAGUAAGAGAAUUUACUUCUGGAGCUGUCAAGGGUCGCAGUAAAGAGGCCCGUGUGACUGUUUAGCAAAAACACAUGUCUCUGCUAAGUCGAUGAGACGAUGUAUAGGGACUGACACCUGCCCGGUACUGGAAGGUUAAGGGAAUUGGUCAUCCUUUUGAGCAAUCUUAAGGUGAAGCCUUGAACUGAAGCCCCAGUAAACGGCGGCCGUAACUAUAACGGUCCUAAGGUAGCGAAAUUCCUUGUCGGGUAAGUUCCGACGCGCACGAAUGGUGUAACAACAUGGGCACUGUCUCAACGAGGGAUUCGGCGAAAUUGUAGUGGCGGUGAAGAUGCCGUCUACCCACGAGUAGACGAAAAGACCCCGAAACCUUUACUGUACCCUGGUACUGAAUUUUGAUCCGAUAUGUGUAGGAUAGGUGGGAGGCUUUGAGACUUCGGCGUCAGUCGAAGUGGAGCCAUCGGUGAAAUACCACCCUUAUCGUAUUAGGGUUCUAACCUAUGCCUUGAAUCAGGUAUGGGAACAAUGCCAGGCGGGCAGUUUAACUGGGGCGGUUGCCUCCUAAACAGUAACGGAGGUGUCCAAAGGCUUCCUCAGCGCGUAUGGCAAUCGCGCAUAGAGUGUAAAGGCAUAAGGAAGCUUAACUGUGAGUCCGACAGGACGAACAGAUACGAAAGUAGGGCUUAGUGAUCCGGCGGUUGAAUGUGGAAUUGCCGUCGCUCAUCGGAUAAUAGGUACUUCGGGGAUAACAGGCUGAUCGCUUCCAAGAGUUCAUAUCGACGAAGCGGUUUGGCACCUCGAUGUCGGCUCAUCGUAUCCUGGGGCUGGAGAAGGUCCCAAGGGUCCGGCUGUUCGCCGGUUAAAACGGUACGCGAGCUGGGUUCAGAACGUCGUGAGACAGUUCGGUCUCUAUCUCUCGUGGGCGCAGGAUAUUUGAAGGGGAUCUUUCCGUAGUACGAGAGGACCCGGAAAGACGGACCAAUAGUGUUCCAGUUGUCCCGCCAGGGGCAAGUGCUGUGUAGCCACGUCCGGAAAGGAUAAGCGCUGAAAGCAUCUAAGUGCGAAGCUCCCUCCAAGAUUAGAUAUCCCAGCCGAUGGAGACAUCGGCUCUUAAGGCACCUUGU
Molecule: ribosomal RNA, 2897 nt
Filed under: groundwater metagenome
Description: bacterial LSU rRNA
Rfam family: Bacterial large subunit ribosomal RNA
Source: RNAcentral